ACGACGAAAUAUCGGGAAUUUUUGAAACUAGAGUCCCCCAGGAAAUUAAGCCAAUGAUCGACUGUCCCUGCCCAUUCUAACGGGGCAUUCUAUUCCUUCAAGUCCCACAGCUCUAAAUGUGCCUAUUCCUUCGACACCUUUCCAUGGAAACAGGGGAAAAAUGGCUUAUUCCGCAUCAACCUAAGCCCGCUUAUUCCGACUAAGUGAUCCAUUGGCGAAAAGAGGGCCUUCCUCCUUCUUGCUUGAAGCUCUGUCAAAGAAGCAUUCUAUUCCGAAAAGGCUUUCACAUUUCCAUGGAAAGAGGGGGAAAAUGACUUAUUCCGCAUCAACCUAAGCCCGCUUAUUCCGACUAAGUGAUCCAUUGGCGAAAAGAGGGCCUUCCUCCUUCUUGCUUGAAGCUCUGUCAAAGAAGCAUUCUAUUCCGAAAAGGCUUAGGGCUAGGCUAAACCUCCCUCAAAGCCAUGAAGUCCCAGAGCUCUUAUUCCAAGAACUGGUGAGAUUCCCUUAACUGCAGAUUCAAUAGCACCGGUUAUGAACCCCAAAAACAACAGGAAAGAGAGCACCGUC
RNAcentral lists this long non-coding RNA (567 nucleotides) under Nicotiana benthamiana. Its description in RNAcentral is "long non-coding RNA (NBEN_LNC020364)". Lineage: Eukaryota; Viridiplantae; Streptophyta; Magnoliopsida; Solanales; Solanaceae. The record is from RNAcentral.